Ribosomal RNA from Nomascus leucogenys (northern white-cheeked gibbon), 109 nucleotides. The record is from Ensembl. Lineage: Eukaryota; Metazoa; Chordata; Mammalia; Primates; Hylobatidae.
GUCUACUGCCAUACCACCCUGAAUGCGCCCGAUCUCAUCUGAUCUCGGAAGCUAAGCAGGGUCGGGCCUGGUUAGUACUUGGAUGAGAGAAAAAAAAUGGCUAUCAAAU